UGGGGAAUAACUCAGUGAUAGAGCACAUGCUUAGCAUGCAGAAGAUCCUGGGUUCAAUCCCCAGUACCUCCA
This 72-nucleotide transfer RNA is filed under the name Camelus bactrianus (Bactrian camel). It matches the Rfam family "tRNA". From Rfam's summary of the family: Transfer RNA (tRNA) molecules are approximately 80 nucleotides in length. Their secondary structure includes four short double-helical elements and three loops (D, anti-codon, and T loops). The record is from Rfam by way of RNAcentral. RNAcentral also lists the same sequence under 2 other names. Lineage: Eukaryota; Metazoa; Chordata; Mammalia; Artiodactyla; Camelidae.